CAUGAGUAACGAUAAGACAGGUGAGAAACCUGUCCGCCGUAAGCCUAAGGGUUCCUGUUCAACGUUAAUCGGAACAGGGUUAGUCGGGACCUAAGCCGAGGCUGAGAAGCGUAGGUGAUGGCAAACGGGUUGAAUAUUCCCGUACCACCUGAAGACGUUAAUGCAAGGCGUGACACAGAAGCGUAAGGUCCGCGUCCUGACGGAUGGACGUUGAAGUGCUUA
Molecule: ribosomal RNA, 222 nt
Filed under: Pycnococcus provasolii
Lineage: Eukaryota; Viridiplantae; Chlorophyta; Pseudoscourfieldiophyceae; Pseudoscourfieldiales; Pycnococcaceae
Description: partial Bacterial large subunit ribosomal RNA
Rfam family: Bacterial large subunit ribosomal RNA
Source: RNAcentral